GAUGAACGCUGGCGGCGUGCCUAAUACAUGCAAGUCGAGCGAACAGACAAGGAGCUUGCUCCUUUGACGUUAGCGGCGGGCGGGUGAGUAACACGUGGGUAACCUACCUAUAAGACUGGGAUAACUUCGGGAAACCGGAGCUAAUACCGGAUAAUAUUUCGAACCGCAUGGUUCGAUAGUGAAAGAUGGUUUUGCUAUCACUUAUAGAUGGACCCGCGCCGUAUUAGCUAGUUGGUAAGGUAACGGCUUACCAAGGCGACGAUACGUAGCCGACCUGAGAGGGUGAUCGGCCACACUGGAACUGAGACACGGUCCAGACUCCUACGGGAGGCAGCAGUAGGGAAUCUUCCGCAAUGGGCGAAAGCCUGACGGAGCAACGCCGCGUGAGUGAUGAAGGUCUUCGGAUCGUAAAACUCUGUUAUUAGGGAAGAACAUACGUGUAAGUAACUAUGCACGUCUUGACGGUACCUAAUCAGAAAGCCACGGCUAACUACGUGCCAGCAGCCGCGGUAAUACGUAGGUGGCAAGCGUUAUCCGGAAUUAUUGGGCGUAAAGCGCGCGUAGGCGGUUUUUUAGUCUGAUGUGAAAGCCCACGGCUCAACCGUGGAGGGUCAUUGGAAACUGUAAAACUUGAGUGCAGAAGAGGAAGGUGGAAUUCCAUGUGUAGCGGUGAAAUGCGCAGAGAUAUGGAGGAACACCAGUGGCGAAGGCGACUUUCUGGUCUGUAACUGACGCUGAUGUGCGAAAGCGUGGGGAUCAAACAGGAUUAGAUACCCUGGUAGUCCACGCCGUAAACGAUGAGUGCUAAGUGUUAGGGGGUUUCCGCCCCUUAGUGCUGCAGCUAACGCAUUAAGCACUCCGCCUGGGGAGUACGACCGCAAGGUUGAAACUCAAAGGAAUUGACGGGGGCCCGCACAAGCGGUGGAGCAUGUGGUUUAAUUCGAAGCAACGCGAAGAACCUUACCAAAUCUUGACAUCCUUUGACAACUCUAGAGAUAGAGCCUUCCCCUUCGGGGGACAAAGUGACAGGUGGUGCAUGGUUGUCGUCAGCUCGUGUCGUGAGAUGUUGGGUUAAGUCCCGCAACGAGCGCAACCCUUAAGCUUAGUUGCCAUCAUUAAGUUGGGCACUCUAAGUUGACUGCCGGUGACAAACCGGAGGAAGGUGGGGAUGACGUCAAAUCAUCAUGCCCCUUAUGAUUUGGGCUACACACGUGCUACAAUGGACAAUACAAAGGGCAGCGAAACCGCGAGGUCAAGCAAAUCCCAUAAAGUUGUUCUCAGUUCGGAUUGUAGUCUGCAACUCGACUACAUGAAGCUGGAAUCGCUAGUAAUCGUAGAUCAGCAUGCUACGGUGAAUACGUUCCCGGGUCU
This 1371-nucleotide ribosomal RNA is filed under the name Ornithodoros porcinus domesticus. RNAcentral describes it as "16S ribosomal RNA". It matches the Rfam family "Bacterial small subunit ribosomal RNA", at positions 28 to 1381 of the family's 1533-position model. The record is from RNAcentral. RNAcentral also lists the same sequence under 1 other name. Lineage: Eukaryota; Metazoa; Arthropoda; Arachnida; Ixodida; Argasidae.